This 476-nucleotide ribosomal RNA is filed under the name uncultured microorganism. Its description in RNAcentral is "bacterial SSU rRNA". It matches the Rfam family "Bacterial small subunit ribosomal RNA", at positions 9 to 521 of the family's 1533-position model. The record is from RNAcentral.
GAGUUUGAUCGUGGCUCAGAGCGAACGCUGGCGGCAGGCCUAACACAUGCAAGUCGAACGAACUCUUCGGAGUUAGUGGCGGACGGGUGAGUAACACGUGGGAACGUGCCUUUUGGUUCGGAAUAACUCAGGGAAACUUGUGCUAAUACCGAAUGUGCCCUUCGGGGAAGGAUUUAUCGCCAUUAGAGCGGCCCGCCGUCUGAUUAGCUAGUUGGUGAGGUAAAGGCUCACCAAGGCGACGAUCAGUAGCUGGUCUGAGAGGAUGAUCAGCCACAUUGGGACUGAGACACGGCCCAAACUCCUACGGGAGGCAGCAGUGGGGAAGUCUUGCGCAAUGGGCGGAAAGCCUGACGCAGCCAUGCCGCGUGAAUGAUGAAGGUCUUAGGAUUGUAAAAUUACUUUCUACCGGGGACCGGAUAAAUGACGGUACCCGGGACGAAGAAGACCCCGGCUAACUUCGUGCCAGCCGCCGCCGU